AUCUUUUUCCUUCACCUUUUAGGAUCUAGCACUCAAUUUAUGUUCUAACAAUAUAUGAAGGAAGGUGAAGAACUUCAAGAACAACAACAACCAUACCAAUAACAAUAACAACAAUCUUCAAGAACAACAACAAUUCCAACGACCAACUCCAAUCGACAACAACAAACGGUCAAGUCUCUUUAGUGUUGUGUCUUUGGUUUUAACAAGAGAUGAAGGUUGUGAAGAAUUUCAAUAACACUACAACAUUCACCAAGAACUACAACAACAACACUCCUUUCAACAACAACAACCACACACAUGGCCAAGUCAAUUUUUUCAACAAUAAUGUCUACCACAUGGUCUUACUUGUUCACGACAACAACAACAAAGCUCAAACUUAGAUAUGGACUCAAGUGUUAGUAAAGAACAAAUCUAAUACUACAAAAACUCAAGAAAAAUAAAAAUCUCAGCCAAGACACAACAAGAAAGCGAUUCUCGGCCAAGAACACAACACGGGCAGGUUGCACUUUUUUUAUUUUUCAGCUUUUCAAUAAUUUUUUUUUUUAAUUUUCUAAUCAAGCAAGCCCAAGAGUGAUAUUGUAGGAACAAUAUUUAGCCAUUCCUUGAUACCAAAUGAUACAAGAAGCACAAGGGAAACACAAAACAAACACCAAAUCAGUCCACAAGUUUGAAGAACCGAGGACCCCUUUGGUGACCACUUUCGGAUUCACCAUAACAACAAUGAAAACAUAAUAACAAGAUAUUGAAGGUGUAAAAUGCACCAAAACAGCAACAAUAUGGAGAGAUGGACAACAAUAACAAGAUAGUAACAACACAAAGUUUUACUAACAAGAGAUAGAAAUGGUUACAAGAACACAAACUACUACAAGAUUACAAUAAAAGUAAAGGGAUAGUUAGAUAGACUUAAUGAAGGUAUAAUCUUAAGAACCCAAGAGAAUAUUCCACUCUUGGACCCUUAACACUAUACACAAUAUUCAUCUAUCUCUUACGAAGACACAAGGUCGAAAUCCACCUCCCAAGCAUCACGUUUCCAAGCCAUGAGAUCAACAAGAGUGAUUCCACACUCUCUAUGCCUAAUUUUGGUUUUGGUGCCUCAAAGAGAGAGGACUUGUGUUUCUUUGUGUUUCAAGACUUAAACAUCAUGAAUAAUAUAAGUCUAAAAGCCCUACAAUAUUCUAUUUAUACUAGGUUACAAAUAAAAUACAAAAUAUCCAAAAUGCCCUUUUAAGAGCUAGGCUCCCUUCAAGUGUAUUUAGGGGCUACAUUUUUGUGUUUAAAGGCUUCUAUUUACAAUUCAAGUGUGAUAUUAGGGUUGGUUUGGUUUGUUUUAAGUCCUUCACUCACACACUCCAAACUCCGGGUUCAUUGCAUUCUCACAUACGUCCAUCUUUGUGGUCGUACUUAUAUCACUUAUGAUCUGAUAUUGUGUGUUGAUCGUGUAUAGGUCUUAUUUGAUCAUUGGUCUUCCUAUCAUGAUAGAAUUACUGUAAUACCCCGAUCAUUCCUUAAGUCUAAAUUAUCAUUUUGAAUGGAUAUGUAUGACUUCCAAAGUGAUUGAUGUUUAAACCAUGUUGUAUUUCUCUAAUUUAUACUUUUUUCAUGUAGAGAAUUGAAUAAUCUUUCCAUUGAUACCAAUUUAAUCAAAAUCCGACAUCGGAUAAGUGAGUUAUGGUCGUUUUACUAAAUGCUAUCGGAUAGCCCAGGUUUGACGGUCGACCUGGUGGACCGCCAGUUCCUUGGUGAACCGUCAAGUGUCCCGUCAAGCCAAGGCAAUAGCUCCUUUUUUGGGAUGUCGUGUGACAGUCAAAGUGGUGGACCGUCACAAAGUUGACGGACCGUCAAGCUGUCCAUCAGACCGAGAUAGAAUGUCUCAUUUCUGGCCCUCAAGGGACGGAUGACUUGGUGGAUCGUCACUUUUCUGAUGGACCGUUAGGUCAACCGUCACGUCUAGGCAGAACGUUCCAGUUUUGGUGUUUGAGUGACAGACGACUUGGUGGACCGUCUGUCCCUCUGACGGACCGUCACAGGCCCCGAUCAACAAAUUUCAGUAUUUUUCAAAAGGGCAUCUUGGUCAUUUUCACUCCUUGUGGCCUUAUAUAUAUAGAGAGAGAGAGAGAGAAGAAAAGAUUAUUUUUCUCUCCAUUUCUCUCCAAAAUUCUUUCAAGAAUUCCUUAGAAACCUAAGGUUUCUUCCAAACCCAAAAAUCAAAUCAUCUCCAAGAAAUUCAAGAAAUUUCCCAUAAAUUUCUUCAAGUUGUUCAAGAACUAAGCUCCUCAAGUCAAAGAUAGCAAGGUCUUGGUCUAAAAGUGUGAGAAAGAAGUUUCAAGCAAGUUUUUAUGUCUUCAAAAUCAAAAUCUAAGGUAUGUGGGGUUUGAACAAGAACACUCCUUUCGUUCUUGUGCCUAAAGGUUUAAUUUCUACUACUGAUUUGCAUGAUUUUGCAAGUGGUUUUACACCCAAAUUUCUUUAAUUAUGAUUUAUGAGAUUUGAGUUGAAUAAGUUUGAUAUUUAUGAUUAUUUCACCAUCAUGUUUCUUAAAUUGAGAAUUUAUUCCAUGAGCUUAUUUUAUAAUUAUGUAUUGAUGAUUUCUAAGCAAUUUAAGUCAAGUUCCAUGAUUUGAAUAUUUUUAUUAUGAAUUGAUGAUUUUUGGAUGAUUUGAGACAAGUAUCAUGAGUUAUGCCUUUCCAUGAGAAAUUCGACUAUUGAAUGUACAUUGAUAUAUGAAAUUGAGAGGCAAUAAUGAGUCUUGUGAUGUUUCCAUGAAGCUUUUGAUAUUUGAAAUGACUUGAUAAAUAAAUGUAUUUGAUGCCGAGAAAGAUUAUGUUGAGUUGAGUUGAGUCGAGUUAGGAAUCCACAAGAUGUUUAUGAUUUACAAAUGAGAUAUAUUUAUGUUUUAGUCUUUAUGAUAGACCCAUGAGUUGAUAUUGAUUGAGGUGGAUUUCCUAACGCGUUCUGAACUGAGUCUGGGAGGAGUAUUUAGCACCGAGGGGAAAAUAUGGUAUUUUCCCAGAACUACGUGCCACUGUAGGAUUGAUGUUGAUGAUUGUGGGCCAAAGGCCGAGUAUGAGAUUGUGAUAUUGAGAUUGAGGUUGUACUCCCUGGAAAGAGUACAACACCCCUGCCAAUGUGGGGUUCUCUCCUUAGGAGGACAAAACGUUGGACUCUAUGCGGCUCACAUGGAGUAGUUAUGUCGGUUAUAAGAAACUCCCACGUCCAUAAUGAUUUAAGACUAUUGAGUUACCGAGUCACUCUAAGUCAUGAGUUAAAGAGUUUGAGCUGAGAUAAAUGAUUUACGAGAUUUAUGAAGUAUGUAUUACCACUGAUGAUUUAUGAGAAAAAUGUUUCAGAUAAUUCAAGCGAAGAGAAUUAUUAUGGUCAACUGACAAUGAUCUUUGAGUACCUUCCUCUACAAUUCUGUAGUUGGUGAGUCCUCAUGGUUCGAGGACCUGUGUCUCCAAUUUUGUCUUGUUAAUAGAUGGUUGUUUACUUUCAGUUCAGUACGAGUCAGUUGGAGAUGUGUCCCAAUGGCUCCUCAAUCUUAUGUAGUAGAGGCUUUGUCAGACUAGUGUACCAGCGUGUACAGAGAUUUAGUAUUUUGUUUGUACAGGGCAGUAUUAUUUCAUGUUUCAGUAUGUUCAUAACAUGGUUAUUCCUUUUUAUCUUAGCAUGAUUUGCUCUAUAAUGAGUUCUGAAAGUGAUGACAAGUUUAGAGGGUUAGCUUGAGACCACGUAUGGCCUUGAGCACCAUAUGACGUCUCUGGAUAGGUUCUUGGGGCGUUACAAUUACCCGAGUUAGGGGAUGAUAUGAUAUUAAUAAUGUCUUACAUGCAUAUUUAUUCUGAUGGUGCCUAAUUAGAGUUGAUAAUAAAGAAUUGUGGACAUAUUGAGUUAAUUUCUGGGAUUACUUAUAUAUAUACGUGUUGGGUGGAUUGGAUAUCAUCAUAUUAAGUUGAUUGUGCACAUUACAUCCUCCUUCUAUGCAUAUACAUUAAUGAGAUACUGGAACCCUUGAGAAACAGUAUUUUUGAAAUAUAAUGAGACAUUUUUAUGGGAAUCUUCAUUAUGAAAAUGAGCUAGAGAUAAAAGUUGAGAUUAAUUUAUGGGAUAUGUAUAUGGGUUAUGCACCCCCAAUGAAUCCUACUUGAUAGAUGUAAGCUCGGUCUGUGGAUACAAAAAUUCAUGCGAUGGCUUUCACAAUUCAUCCUAUCCACAUUGCAUCGCAUUGCACUUCACCUACAUUUUUCAUGUUUUCUUUAGUUCCUUGACUUGUGCUAGUUUCAGUGUAUUUUUGUGUAUAUCCAUGUUGUUUCUACUUCUGUGUGUGUGUGUGUUUAUAUAUAUUGAACUAUUAGUGGAGACGUGUGAGCUACCAUUUGGGACUUUUCUGCUUGCAGGUGACAUGCUCAUAUUAUUAUUAUACUUAUCUUAUUUUCUUCUUUGCUUAGUCGAUCUAUUAUACCUACUGAGUACAAGUGGACCAUACUCACCCCUACUGUGCCCAUUCGCUGCAGAUCCUUGUAUGAGCACCUCAUGUGGUGGUUGAUUUUGUGCAGAGAUUCUAGACUUUGAGGUACUGAUUCACUUCACAGUUCAGGACUGAUUUAGACUCCAUCUAUACCUACUUGUGUUUAUUUUGGUUUUCAAAGACAAAUGUAAACUUUUAGUUUCCAGAUAUUCUACAAGAUUGAUAUUACAUUAUGGUACUAUGUUUUUGGUUAUUUGUGUUAUUUCUCUUAGACUUCCUCUAUUAUUAUAAUUGUACAUGUCUGAUUUUG
RNAcentral lists this long non-coding RNA (4775 nucleotides) under Capsicum annuum. RNAcentral's name for it is "long non-coding RNA (CANN_LNC002684)". Lineage: Eukaryota; Viridiplantae; Streptophyta; Magnoliopsida; Solanales; Solanaceae. The record is from RNAcentral.